This 254-nucleotide ribosomal RNA is filed under the name uncultured bacterium. Its description in RNAcentral is "partial 16S ribosomal RNA". It matches the Rfam family "Bacterial small subunit ribosomal RNA", at positions 524 to 776 of the family's 1533-position model. The record is from RNAcentral.
UACGGAGGGGACUAGCGUUGUUCGGAAUUACUGGGCGUAAAGGGCGCGUAGGCGGCCACCGCAAGUCAGUUGUGAAAUCUCCGAGCUUAACUCGGAAAGGUCAACUGAUACUGUGCGGCUAGAGUGCGGAAGGGGCAACUGGAAUUCUUGGUGUAGCGGUGAAAUGCGUAGAUAUCAAGAGGAACACCUGCGGCGAAGGCGGGUUGCUGGGCCGACACUGACGCUGAGGCGCGAAAGCCAGGGGAGCGAACGGG